RNAcentral lists this ribosomal RNA (908 nucleotides) under Alexandrium tamarense. Its description in RNAcentral is "LSU rRNA". It matches the Rfam family "Eukaryotic large subunit ribosomal RNA", at positions 65 to 927 of the family's 3401-position model. The record is from RNAcentral. Lineage: Eukaryota; Dinophyceae; Gonyaulacales; Pyrocystaceae.
CCAACUGGGAUCUCUUCAGUAAUUGCGCAUGAACCAGGAUAUGCUUAGCUUGACAAAUGGAGCUGCUGGCUCUGAAUUGUAUUGUGGGAAUGUAUUACCAACAGAGGUGCAGGUGUCAGCCAUUUGAAAGAAAGCAUCAAUGAGGGUGAGAGUCCUGUUUGUCAUGUGCAGCCUUCUGUGCACGGUGUAUAUUUGCUGAGUCACACUCCUUGGCAUUGGAAUGCAAAGUGGGUGGUAAGUUUCAUGCAAAGGUAAAUAUGCAAUUGAGACUGAUAGCGCACAAGUACCAUGAGGGACAUAUGAAAAGGACUUUGAAAAGAGAAUUAAAUGAGUUUGUAUUUGCUAAACACAAAGUAAACAGACUUGAUUUCCUCAGUGAGAUUGUAGUGCUUGCUUAACAAUGGGUUUUGGCUGCAAGUGCAAUAAUUCUUGCUUUGUGUGCCAGUUUUUAUGUGGACAUUUGAUUACCUUUGCACAUGAAUGGUAAUUUUCCUGCGGGGUGUGGAUUGCAUAUGCAUGUAAUGAUUUGCAUGUUUGUUAAAUGUGUCUGGUGUAUUUGUUUGUGUCCUUGUCCUUGAGGUUGCUUUCUCCCUUGGGCUUACAUGCCCUGGCACACACAUUCUGGCAAAAUGCUUCUGCUUGACCCGUCUUGAAACACGGACCAAGGAGUCUAACAGAUGUGCAAGUUUGAAGGUGGUAUACCUGUGUGUGUAAUGAAAGUAUUGGCUGGGAUAUUUGCACCAGCAGCCGACUAAUUAGCAGACAGAGGUUUGAGUUGGAGCAUAUCUAUUAGGACCCGAAAGAUGGUGAACUAUGCUUGAACAGAAAGAAUUCAGAGGAAACUCUGAUGGAGGUUCGUAUCGAUACUGACGUGCAAAUCGUUCGUCAUAUUUGGGUAUAGGGGCGAA